AUCAUACUUUAUCUUGGUAAUUGGUUGUCUGGAUUUAUGAAGCGAAGGCGGACUGUUAAUCAAAGACGUGAUCUUCCUUGGUCUUCUAGGCAAUGGGACAAAAUCAUCUGAAAAGUGGAG
Non-coding RNA from Bombyx mori (domestic silkworm), 120 nucleotides. NCBI's taxonomy places the organism in Eukaryota, Metazoa, Arthropoda, Insecta, Lepidoptera, Bombycidae. The record is from RefSeq and is marked provisional.